RNAcentral lists this long non-coding RNA (1119 nucleotides) under Salvator merianae (Argentine black and white tegu). RNAcentral describes it as "lncRNA (ENSSMRG00000012534.1)". Lineage: Eukaryota; Metazoa; Chordata; Lepidosauria; Squamata; Teiidae. The record is from RNAcentral.
CAAGAGUCGCAGUUGAUUUACGGUAGUUAUAAACAUUCCAAAGUACACAUGUAAGUUAAAUGAUACAAUAAUAUUAUAGCAUUGCAAUUCUGGCACAAAUGUGUCAUCGGUUUGAAAAUUCUCCGUUUGGUCCCCUUCUCUGGUUAGCAUGCGAUGAAGUGGCAGGGAAUCUAUUCUCAUUGAAGAAACAGAAGAAGCGGAAAAAAUCCAGGAGCUGGAAUUCUGUCGUUCCAGAGCAUGCAUCUCCCCAAAGGGAAAUACUGUGGCACAAAGUACAGAAGGAAAUAGAAACAGUCUCCAUCGUCUCUUCAAAGGCAGUUCAGCAAGAUUUUUCAAGAGGGGAGGUGAGAGAAAGCAAGAGCCAAAGACUUCCUGAAAUGUCUCCAGAGAGUGAUGGCACCUUAGGGGUAAAAAUGACUUGAAUUGCAAGUUCAACCCCCCGAUUCUCCCAGGAAGAAGACAAUGGCAAACCAUUUCCGUAUCUGCCAGGAAAACUGCACAGUGGUGUCCGUGAAUUCACUAGGAGUUGAUCCCAUCUUGAUGGCAUUAAACUGCAAUAACAAUUUCAGAAUUAUUUCCAUUUAGUUCAAAGCUGGCCCACUCUGAAACGUGGUUGUUGCAAGUAAACUUCAUAACACUGAGGCUGCAGACAAACAUUGUUAAUUUAAUCCAUAUCAGAUGAGUACAAGGACUGAGUUCAUCUUGUGAUCAUUCCCACAUUUGCAUUUUAACAUGGAGUCAGUUCGGACUUGCUCAUUCUCACACUGAUGUUUCCCAUGCUUGGCAUGGGGAAACCGUACAUUUUCAGUCUCCAUCUCUUGCCAAAUUCCCCUCCCUGUGCAGUCAGUGAUUGGUUGCAAUCCCAAUGUUCAAAUCUUGACGUCACAGGGGUGGGGAAGUCAAGCUCCUCCCUCCAUAUUUCCCUGCUGCCAUCUCAGAACAUGGGCAUUCCCUGUUUGCUUCUUCUCCCCCUCCAGCCUAUAUCCAUGCAAGCAGAACUUUGAUACUGCAUCUACCACACAAUAAGUUUUUCUAGUUAUUUUAUUGUGACCCGCCCUGAGACCUUCAGAUAUAGGGCAGGAUAGAAAUAUAAAUAAAUAAAUAAAUUGCACCUGGACA